RNAcentral lists this long non-coding RNA (3706 nucleotides) under Homo sapiens (human). RNAcentral describes it as "HSALNT0168874". The record is from RNAcentral. Lineage: Eukaryota; Metazoa; Chordata; Mammalia; Primates; Hominidae.
GGAAACAGUACGCUUCUCGGGAGGCAGCACGGGGUAGUGGGGAAGGAAUCUGGGCUUUGGAGAAGCCUUCCUGAGCUUGAUUCCCAACUUUGCUGCUGACUUACAAGCUGUAUGGUCUUGGCCAAGCUACUCAAUCUCUCUGUUACAUAGUUUCCUGACCUACAGUAUACGUAGAUUGGCAAUGGCCACAAAUAUCUUGUAGCUCUUUUCUUUGAGAGGUGGAGCCUAUUUCCCCAACCCUUGAAUCUGGACUGCCUUGUGGCUGAUUUUGCCCAAUAGAAUAAAGCAGGGGUAUUGUAUGAGUCCCAAGUCUAGGCUCUGAUAAAUUUAGAAGCUUCCACUCCUUCUGUUGGAAUUCUGCCACCAUGUGAACAGCCCAGGCUGGCCUACAAGGAUGAGAGGCUAUGCGAGGAAGGGAUGAGUGGUUCCAGCUGAGGGUCCCUAAUACAGUAGCCUGCCAACCACUAGACUUGUGAAGGCACUGUAGGUUGACUUGUGAGGUCAACCAGUCCCCAACAACUCACCAGGAGACGGAAAGCCAGAGGAUCAGAAGGACUGCCCAGCUGACCUACAGAACUAAAGCAUUCCUGAUUGACGUGGGAAUUGAGCAUCUGUGGCCUAGAUCCCAUAUGCUACCUUUUCUUCCUGGGGCAAACGUGAAAUGUUGAACGAGGUAGCUGUUGGAGCAUGCAUUGAAACACUCUUCUGCCAGUUUAAUGAGAUAAAUCUAUUGAUUGGCUGCCAAAAGUGUGACCUGGUGACAAAGCUUGCAAAGAGGAUUACAGAACCUCCCAUCAGCCUUGAGAAGGGCUGCUGCCAAGUACCAAGUUGGCUCAGUUCCCAGCCUGACUGCCUGUAUUACUCCUUGCAGGAAGAGGACUGUGUAUACAUCUUAGAUGCUUGAUAUUAACCAAAAUGAAUUAUUAAAUAAAAUUUUCUACCUACAGUCCUACGCAGUUCUCUCUGGGACUCACCUCUGAUUUUUUUGAAAUUCGGUUUGAUUUAUAAACUAGUCCACAACACAUUUCAGAUGUUGUAAGAAUUAAUUGCUGUUCCGUUGCUGAUUUUCAUAAUAUGUAAAGAUGUUUAUAAGCACAAUCUAAUUCUCCAACCUCUUUAAGCUCUUUAUAAAGUCCAUGUAAGUGUUUCAAACUUAAGUUGUAGGCAUGACAGAAACCAGUGGCAGCUUUUCUAGUAAUUAAUGGAGAUGCUUGUUUUUCAUAGUUGAUAUAAACUUAAGCUAAUCAAGGAGCACUUUUUCUAACACCCUGACAACCAGGAUUUAAAAUAAUUCAUGGUAUGUAAAUUUGUUUUUUGUUGUUUUUUGUUGUUUUUGUUUUUUUUGUUUUUUUGAGACUAGAUUUUGCUCUGUCACUGAGACUGGAGUGCAGUGGUGUAAUGAUAGCUCACUGCAGCCCAGUGAUCCUCCCAGGCUCAAGUGAUCCUCCUGCCUUUGUGUCCCAAGUAGCUGGGACCACAGGUGUGCACCACCACGUCCGGCUAUUUUUUGUAGAGAUGGAGUUUUGCCAUAUUUCCCAGGCUGGUCUUGAACUCCUGGGCUCAAGCAAUUCUCCCUCUUCGGUCUCCCAAAGUUUUGGAAUUAUAGAUGUGAGCCAUGGUACCUGGCCAUGGUAUGUAACUUUAUAAUACAAUUGACCUAAGGUUGAAUGAUGAUAUUCCUUCUGAAUUGAUUGGACUGAUACAUAAGAAAUAUGUAAGUAAACUGUUGAACGAAUCCCUAUAUAUUCUGAUUUCAAUAAUUUGCCUCUUUGUGAUUGAGCUGGUAUUGCCUGAAGACUAAAAGAGUAUUCUCUAAGUAUGGCAUGUAACACCGUCAAAUUCAGCUCCAAAUUAUUAACACCUUUGGCAGGUACAACUAAAGCUUCAUUCGGAUGUUUCUGAGAUUCAUUAGAAAGAGGAUUCCCGCCCCCACCCCCCACCCCGAGAUGGAGUCUUGUUCUGUCACCCAGGUUGGAGUACACUGGCACAAUCUCAGCUCACUGCAACCUCUGCCUCCCUGGGUUCAAGCAAUUCUCCUGCCUCAGCCUCCCGAGUAGCUGGGAUUACAGGCGUGCGCCACCACGCCUGGCUAAUUUUUGUAUUUUAAGUAGAGACAGGGUUUCAACACGUUGGCCAGGCUGGUCUCAAACUCCUGACCUUGUGAUCUGCCUGCCUCGGUCCCCCAAAAUGCUGGGAUUACAGGUGUAAGCCACCAUGCCCAGCCCUAGAAAGGAUAAUUCUUAAGGUGCUUAAUCUUGGUUGCACAUUAAAAUCCCCUGAAGUGCUUUGGAAAAUGCUAGUGUCCAGGCACCAUCUCAAAUCAACUAGACUCUUGGGAGGAGAGCCCAGACAUCAAUUACAAAAAGAAAAAAAAGUUCCCCAGGUGAUUCUAGGAGCAGCCAGGGUUGAGAACCAGUGAUUCAAACCUUCCAACAAAGAGCCGACGAUGAAUCAGAUCCCUCCCCAAAUAAUCCCUCUCCUUCCCCUCUACCAUCUACACUCUCCACACAUGACCAUCAAAGGAACUCUCUGAGGAAAUGAGAAAUGUCUGGCCCUGAGCCUCCCAAGUAAUAUAGCUGCUGGAAGCACAGGAGCCAGUCCUCGGGAUGCCUGGGAGAUGAGCUUAUCUGGGGCAGGGGUGGGUUGCACUAUUAGCACACAGGUUCUUUGUUCUCCAAUCCACGGAUGAAGCUCAAGUUCAUUUAGCACCAUUGCCAGAGGUAACCUCCAUACCCAUCUUUGCCUGCCUUUUCCUUUCUCCCAAGCCAGCCUUUCCUACCCUUUACUGUGUGCAAAAAGUCUAGCCCUGUAACUACUAAAGAUUCCUAUGCCAACCAGCCCAACCGUGAUCACUCCCACUCCCACCAUGGUUGUUGACAUGAAUGUAAUAGGAUUGAACCCUUGUCAUUCCCAUAUCAUCCCUCUUUCCUUUCCUUUUAGGGCACAUUUUAAUGAAUGAAUUGAGCUUAUUUCUGAAUAAGAGAAGCAGGAGGAGGUGAAACAGUGAUUCUUGUGUUCAGUGAGCUGGGAAAGUAGUUGAACCCUACAGAUGGUGACUGAGUUACUGGGAACACAGAGGCUGAUCUGACAGCUGGAUAUUAUGUAUCAUUUCCCAAGACUCCUGCCCUCACUGCCCAAGUUGCUUUUCCAACAGUGUGGAGACCUUUGUCCCAAGGCACUUGUCCUCAUUUACAGAACUCACAGGAGGUUAAGGUGAUGAUUAUCAGCCUGGUAUCAUGCUCCACAGUCUUCACCUUUUCCCUUAACCCUGGAGGUAAUUAGUGUUUGAUCUACACAUCAUGUGGGUGGUAGCUUAUUCUUCUGUUCUGUCCUUAAGUAAACUUCUGCCGGUCCUUGAUUUCUGGGUUGAUCAUGUUCCAAGAAUCACUACAGAGCAGGUGCUGAGCAGUCAGAUGACAGCUGUUGAUCUGUUGCAAGUGAGCAAUUAGAGACUGCAGGAGAAUGCCACGCUACACAGUUUACAUUGAGUAUUCAGAAAACCAAAUAUUUGAGUGCCCACUUUGUGGCAAACACUGAAUGUGUACCCACACAUACACACACAUACACAAACACACAUACACAGAGGAUGUCUGUCCUUAGGUACAAUUGAAUGACCUCUUAAGUGAAUUGGACCUUUUCCUCUUUAUUUAUCUAUCUCUUCAUUGACUAAUUCGUCUCAUCAUUUUUAAAUAGUAGUUGGGGAGGA